RNAcentral lists this long non-coding RNA (204 nucleotides) under Elaeis guineensis (African oil palm). RNAcentral describes it as "long non-coding RNA (EGUI_LNC015877)". The record is from RNAcentral. Lineage: Eukaryota; Viridiplantae; Streptophyta; Magnoliopsida; Arecales; Arecaceae.
GAUCGGCUGGAACAACAAAAAAAUUCUAAACACAAUCCAAAAAUUUUUGAACUUGAGGAAAAGAACUAACACUCAAACGAGUCUCCAAAAGGCAGCAUACAUUUGGAUCAUGGUCCCUAAUCAACUUUUUAAAAAUAUUGAAGAAGGAAAAUUUCGCAACCCCCCUACAAUUCCAUGAAAGAAUGAUCAUAAAGAUGAGGAGGA